RNAcentral lists this ribosomal RNA (439 nucleotides) under uncultured bacterium. Its description in RNAcentral is "partial 16S ribosomal RNA". It matches the Rfam family "Bacterial small subunit ribosomal RNA", at positions 339 to 795 of the family's 1533-position model. The record is from RNAcentral.
CUACGGGGGGCACCAGUGGGGAAUCUUGGACAAUGGGCGCAAGCCUGAUCCAGCCAUGCCGCGUGAGUGAUGAAGGCCUUAGGGUCGUAAAGCUCUUUCGCCAGAGAUGAUAAUGACAGUAUCUGGUAAAGAAACCCCUGCUAACUCCGUGCCAGCAGCCGCGGUAAUACGGAGGGGGUUAGCGUUGUUCGGAAUUACUGGGCGUAAAGCGCGCGUAGGCGGAUUAGUCAAUCAGAGGUGAAAUCCCAGGGCUCAACCCUGGAACUGCCUUUGAUACUGCUAGUCUUGAGUUCGAGAGAGGUGAGUGGAAUUCCGAGUGUAGAGGUGAAAUUCGUAGAUAUUCGGAGGAACACCAGUGGCGAAGGCGGCUCACUGGCUCGAUACUGACGCUGAGGUGCGAAAGUGUGGGGAGCAAACAGGAUUAGAUACCCGAGUAGUC